RNAcentral lists this ribosomal RNA (373 nucleotides) under uncultured organism. RNAcentral's name for it is "partial 16S ribosomal RNA". It matches the Rfam family "Bacterial small subunit ribosomal RNA", at positions 527 to 896 of the family's 1533-position model. The record is from RNAcentral.
GUAGGUGGCAAGCGUUGUCCGGAAUUAUUGGGCGUAAAGCGCGCGCAGGCGGUCCUUUAAGUCUGAUGUGAAAGCCCACGGCUCAACCGUGGAGGGUCAUUGGAAACUGGGGGGACUUGAGUACAGAAGAGGAAAGCGGAAUUCCAAGUGUAGCGGUGAAAUGCGUAGAGAUUUGGAGGAACACCAGUGGCGAAGGCGGCGUUUCUGGUCUGUAACUGACGCUGAGGCGCGAAAGCGUGGGGAGCAAACAGGGAUUAGAUACCCUGGUAGUCCACGCCGUAAACGAUGAGUGCUAAGUGUUAGGGGGUUUCCGCCCCCUUAGUGCUGCAGCUAACGCAUUAAGCACUCCGCCUGGGGAGUACGCGCAAGGCUG